GUGGGGAAUCUUCCACAAUGGACGAAAGUCUGAUGGAGCAACGCCGCGUGAGUGAAGAAGGGUUUCGGCUCGUAAAGCUCUGUUGUCGGGGACGAAUGUGCAGUAUUUGAAUAAAGUACUGUAAUGACGGUACCUGACGAGGAAGCCACGGCUAACUACGUGCCAGCAGCCGCGGUAAUACGUAGGUGGCAAGCGUUGUCCGGAAUUAUUGGGCGUAAAGGGAGCGCAGGCGGGAAGGUAAGUCGGUCUUAGAAGUGCGGGGCUCAACCCCGUGAUGGGAUCGAAACUAUCUUUCUUGAGUGCAGGAGAGGAAAGUGGAAUUCCUAGUGUAGCGGUGAAAUGCGUAGAUAUUAGGAGGAACACCAGUGGCGAAGGCGACUUUCUGGACUGUAACUGACGCUGAGGCUCGAAAGCCAGGGGAGCGAACGGGAUUAGAAACCCCAGUAGUCC
RNAcentral lists this ribosomal RNA (450 nucleotides) under uncultured bacterium. RNAcentral's name for it is "partial 16S ribosomal RNA". It matches the Rfam family "Bacterial small subunit ribosomal RNA", at positions 354 to 796 of the family's 1533-position model. The record is from RNAcentral.